GGACAAUCCUGGUAAAACCAAGGUCAGGGGGACAACUAAUCCAUCCUCAAUAUAACAUCCAAGUCCACAAUCUCUAAGAGCAAUAAGUUGACACGGGUCUCAAGACCCUCAAACACCACCACACAAGAACGAUACACUCGGUCGACCACUAUGGAAAUCAUCAACUGUCGCGGACAUAUAUACAGGAACACCCAAAGCCUCUCUAGGCAUGAUCAAAUCGGCUGCGAAAUAGAACGACAAUCGACCACUAUGGAAAUCACCAGCUGGCGCGGACACACAUACAGGAACACCCAAAGCCUCUCUAGGCAUGAUCAAUUGGGGUGCGAAAUAGAACGACAGAUAAUUUUGGACAAUGAUUUUUUCAAUGUUAAUAUUAAGUCGAACAAAUCAAAUU
Molecule: long non-coding RNA, 394 nt
Filed under: Nicotiana benthamiana
Lineage: Eukaryota; Viridiplantae; Streptophyta; Magnoliopsida; Solanales; Solanaceae
Description: long non-coding RNA (NBEN_LNC023095)
Source: RNAcentral